This is a long non-coding RNA of Strigops habroptila (Kakapo), 1499 nucleotides long. RefSeq lists it as uncharacterized. NCBI's taxonomy places the organism in Eukaryota, Metazoa, Chordata, Aves, Psittaciformes, Psittacidae. The transcript has 4 exons. The record is from RefSeq and is a predicted model, not a curated record.
GGAGCUGGGGGAGCGGAGCCCGGGGAGGAGCGGGAGCCAGGGGCGGAGCGGGAACGGCGCUGGCUCGCCCAGAGCUUUUGUCUGCCGGAGGAGAGGAUGCCGACCGGGACCGGGUCCUGGCCUAGCAGCGGGGUGCUCGGAGAACCCCGCUGCAGAGAUGUGCGAAGCAGCACCAUGGAAAGGAGGAGCUGAUGAAGGGGAAGGAAGAGAAGAGAACUCCAGCUUUGCCAGGCCACUGGGGGAUGAGAGCAUCACGGAGGAGGCAGCAUCCAGCUAAUAACAUCCUAAAGCAGGCUGUUGCGAAGAUGGCCACAGGGAUGGUGUGACUGCUGCCAGUGCCCCACCUAUAGCAUCACCACCCAGCACCCAGAAACACCACCUCACAAUUUAGGGACCAGGGAAAGGAAUACUUGCAGAAGUAACAGAGACCAAAAUGCAACAUGAAGCCCUUGUACAUCCUCUAACACGGCAGCGAUUUGCUCCAUAAUUCCUAUAAAAGCCUCAACUAUUGCAAGGUUUGAGUCUACUAGAUAUUAUAAUGUUAUUGAAGCUGCAAGGGCUGAGCUUGUUUCUAUCUACAAUCCAGAUUGCCAUCAAAAACUGUGCUUCCCUCCAUCAAUCUAUGGGAUUAUUCCUGCUACCAAAUGCUGCUCACAUGUAAGGCUUUCAGAGUCUUGCCCAGAAAGACAAACCUCGCUUUGUUAUGUUUUUUUCCAAUUAGUUUUCCCAUAUUUGGGAGAAAACAUACAAGAGAAAAGGAAAUGCAAGUGGGAAGCAUCAUUGUACAAAGACCAUUUCAAGUAGCAGGCUCCUGUGAAGGCAAGUUCAGAGUUACAGAAAUGCUAUUGGUCGCAGAGACAAUUGCAUGCACUAUGAAAUAAUUAUUCUGCUAGUUCAGCUCUUUGGUACUAUUUGAAAGAUCUGGAAGUCAAGUAUUUAAUAAUCUUCUGCCCCAAAAGGAUCAAUGUAUUUCUGCAGGAUCAAUGAUUGUGCAUCCCCUGCAAAACUGGAGAAAAUCAACUUCUACAGAAGCUCCUUACCAGAAACCACUCGUUGGCCCCACAGUUUACCCGAGACUCUGCGCAGCCACCAAGCUUAAAAGUAAAAAGCUUAAAAGUAAAAAGAGAUUUUUGAGGAUGGGGAAGGCACAAUGGAUGCGGCCAGUAACAAUGACUUAUCCAUGGUCAGUGACUCCCAGUGCUGCCCUGGUGCUCUGUUGUGCUUGACGGGCAGAAGAAAUCUCCUCAAAGGCCUGGGAAUGGCCCAGAACAGCCCAGGCUGCCACAAAGGUCUGCACCAGCAUCCAGAGGAGAAGGAGGAGGAGGAGGAAGCAGCAUGAAAUGGGAGAGCAUUUUGGAUGGGCAAGAUCAUCGGAUCUUCACCUGUGUUUGGGCUGGCUGCAUGGGGAGAAAUGCUUCUCCUUUACUCAUAUUCUGCUUUAGCAUUUAAAAAUAAAUAAAUGAAAUAUUCAUACAUAUACUUCUAUAUAACACAUAUAU